GCGAGGCUCGCUUAUUGGUAAAGCCCAGCAACGGUAUGCCGCUGACUGAUAACCGGGUUCGAUUCCCGGGCCCCGCACCA
Molecule: transfer RNA, 80 nt
Filed under: Massilia sp. H-1
Lineage: Bacteria; Pseudomonadati; Pseudomonadota; Betaproteobacteria; Burkholderiales; Oxalobacteraceae
Description: tRNA-OTHER
Source: RNAcentral